UUUAUUUUUAACCUUACUUCACCCAAUUCUGUUGACACUUAAAUGAAGAACAGCAGAGACUUCCCCCCCCCCUCCCUCUAGUACAAUCCGGGAUUGGAAAUCCCAGCAGCCAGGGGAUCCCAGUGCCCAGGUCUGGGAGAGCCACCCCUGCCCAUCACCUGAGGGUGCCUGGCUGCAGGCUGGGAUGGCAGCGGGUACGGGGCAGUCUGUUCUUGCUGGAAGGGGAGUGUGUCCACAUGGGUGGUGUUUAUCCAAGCAGCUCCUUGGUCUUCGCUGCCAGCAGCUUGUCCAUCUCUGCUGCAGCACUGUCUGCCAUUUGCUGGAUCUGCUUUUCUAGCAGCCAAAUGGUGUCCUCAGACACUUUGCUCUUGAACUUCUUCACCUGGUUGACGCUUUUGCUUCGCACCUUCCUCAAGGCUUCUUUGGAUUUGUUGGUGGACUGCUUGGCGAGCUUGGCCAGGCUCUCCCUGUGCUCUCUGGUUACUUUAGGAACUGGCACCCGAAUUAGUGUCCCAUCCACUUCUG
This 525-nucleotide long non-coding RNA is filed under the name Gallus gallus (chicken). The record is from RNAcentral. Lineage: Eukaryota; Metazoa; Chordata; Aves; Galliformes; Phasianidae.